GCGGCGGUAGGAUAAUUUCCCCUCGCCCUCCCGCGACGGGAGGGUCGACGUUCGAGUCAUUUCCGCCACA
RNAcentral lists this transfer RNA (70 nucleotides) under Alphaproteobacteria bacterium. RNAcentral describes it as "tRNA-Gly". Lineage: Bacteria; Pseudomonadati; Pseudomonadota; Alphaproteobacteria. The record is from RNAcentral.